GCGCAACGACUUGGGCGCUGUCUCGACCAUGGACCCGGUGAAAUUGCACUGGUCGUGAAGAUGCGACUUACCCGCGGAAGGACGGAAAGACCCCGUGAACCUUCACUGCAGCUUGGCAUUGGCCGCUGGUCCCGCGUGUAGAGGAUAGGCAGGAGGCACAGAUCCGGAGGCGCCAGCCCCCGGGGAGCCGCCCUUGGAAUACUGCCCUCGCGCGACCGGCGUCCUAACCCGAGGCCGUCAACCGGCUCGGGGACCGUGCCAGGCGGGCAGUUUGACUGGGGCGGUCGCCUCCUAAAGGGUAACGGAGGCGCGCGAAGGUCCGCUCGGGACGGUCGGCAACCGUCCUUUUGAAUGCAAGAGUACAAGCGGGCUUGACUGCGAGGCCCACAAGCCGAGCAGGUGCGAAAGCAGGCUCUAGUGAUCCGGCGGCCCCGAGUGGGUGGGCCGUCGCUCAACGGAUAAAAGGUACUCCGGGGAUAACAGGCUGAUCUUGCCCAAGAGUCCACAUCGACGGCAAGGUUUGGCACCUCGAUGUCGGCUCAUCGCAUCCUGGGGCUGGAGCAGGUCCCAAGGGUACGGCUGUUCGCCGUUUAAAGCGGUACGCGAGCUGGGUUCAGAACGUCGUGAGACAGUUCGGUCCCUAUCCUCCGUGGGCGCAGGAGAAUCGAUGGAGGCUGCCCCCAGUACGAGAGGACCGGGGUGGACGCACCUCCGGUGAACCGGUUGUCGACCAACGGCACGGCCGGGUAGCCGCGUGCGGCGCGGAUAACCGCUGAAGGCAUCUAAGCGGGAAGCCGUUCCAGGGAUUAGUUCUCCUUCCGGUAAGGGCCCAGGUAGACUACCUGGUCGAUAGACGGCAGGUGCAAGGGCGGCGACGUCCUCAGCCGAGCCGCACUAAUCGCCCGAGCUCUUCCGGAA
This 918-nucleotide ribosomal RNA is filed under the name human gut metagenome. RNAcentral's name for it is "bacterial LSU rRNA". It matches the Rfam family "Bacterial large subunit ribosomal RNA", at positions 1999 to 2925 of the family's 2925-position model. The record is from RNAcentral.